GGCGAUCGCCCCUCCGCUCCCCAGCCGUGGAACUCUCCCCGCCUCUGAGCUCGCAGAGAGCAGCUGUCUCCUGGGGCAGCACCGGCGGGGGAAGCAGAGCGCUUUCUGGGAGCCAUCACGGGAACGAGUGAAGAAGGCCGGGAGCUUAGCUGCCUGCUCGGCAAUGUCCCAGCGCUGCCCCCAUGCGGCCUCCUGCCAUCCAGGUCCCCUCCAGGCCCACAGCUCCCCGACUCGGCCCCGCAGAGACUGACUGUCACGAGGAAGCUGAGCUCCCCAGAACCUUUCCCAAAGCUGGUGUGGGCCUCUGUGUCACCCAGGCCCCGCUGGAGCAGCCGGACAACAGUUGACACCCGGCCGAGGGUGGAAACUGCAGCAGGAGUCCAGAGGAAAGAGCUGCGCUCCCUGGACACAGCUCCCUAAGCAGGGCAGCUGCUUCUGCUGCCUCACCAGGGCAGGGGCUUCGCUGGCCUGGGCACAGGACCCCGCUCUUAUGAACUGUGCCCCGGCCGUGGGCAAAGAGAGUCAGCUAAACCAAG
RNAcentral lists this long non-coding RNA (536 nucleotides) under Heterocephalus glaber (naked mole-rat). RNAcentral's name for it is "lncRNA (ENSHGLG00000039351.1)". The record is from RNAcentral. Lineage: Eukaryota; Metazoa; Chordata; Mammalia; Rodentia; Bathyergidae.